UCCGACUUAACGUCGGCAGUCUGUUUAGAGUGCCCAACUAAAUGCUGGCAACUAAACACAAGGGUUGCGCUCGUUGCGGGACUUAACCCAACAUCUCACGACACGAGCUGACGACAGCCAUGCAGCACCUGUGUAUCGGCCCGAAGGCGACCUUAUUUCUAAGAGUCUUCCAAUACAUGUCAAACCCAGGUAAGGUUCUUCGCGUUGCAUCGAAUUAAACCACAUGCUCCACCGCUUGUGCGGGCCCCCGUCAAUUUCUUUGAGUUUUAAUCUUGCGACCGUACUUCCCAGGCGGGAUACUUAACGCGUUAGCUUCGGCACUGAAGGGGUCAAUACCUCCAACACCAAGUAUCCAUCGUUUAUGGCGUGGACUAC
Molecule: unclassified non-coding RNA, 375 nt
Filed under: uncultured Pseudobdellovibrionaceae bacterium
Lineage: Bacteria; Pseudomonadati; Bdellovibrionota; Bdellovibrionia; Bdellovibrionales; Pseudobdellovibrionaceae
Description: uncultured Bdellovibrionaceae bacterium contains 16S-23S intergenic spacer region
Source: RNAcentral